UUUUUUUUUGUGAAUACAUAAAUCGUUCAAGACUCUUGUUUUUAGUUCUCGGCGCCAUGGAUAAAGACCAACAGAAAAGAGUGCAGCAAGUGUACCUGCUAAUUUGACUCGCCCUCAGCUCUAGCAAGUCUCAACAUAUCAUGUUCGAGGGUGAGAUAUUCAUUCAAGCUCUUGUUGGAUUCUCUC
Long non-coding RNA from Solanum lycopersicum (tomato), 186 nucleotides. RefSeq lists it as uncharacterized. NCBI's taxonomy places the organism in Eukaryota, Viridiplantae, Streptophyta, Magnoliopsida, Solanales, Solanaceae. The record is from RefSeq and is a predicted model, not a curated record.